GUAUGGCCUCAUCCACUGUUACUUCAGGCCCAGGGCUGUAGAGGUAUGGCCUCAUCCACUGUUACUUCAGGCCCAGGGCUGUAGAGGUAUGGCCUCAUCCACUGUUACUUCAGGCCCAGGGUUGUAGAGGUAUGGCCUCAUCCACUGUUACUUCAGGCCCAGGGUUGUAGAGGUACGGCAGACGCUCCACCCACUUCUCCCAGACCUCUCUUAUGGCCGUCAGUUUGUCUCUCACAUGUUUUGCAGGUCUUGACUCACGGUUAUCAAAUCGUAGCAUUCUUGAGAAAGUGUGAAAGACUUUCAGUGGCAUCAUGGCAUGGAAAAUCACCCUUCCACUCUCUGCAUCCCAGAGACUACAUGUAGCCUCACCUCGAGACCUAUAC
Molecule: long non-coding RNA, 383 nt
Filed under: Salmo salar (Atlantic salmon)
Lineage: Eukaryota; Metazoa; Chordata; Actinopteri; Salmoniformes; Salmonidae
Description: lncRNA (ENSSSAG00000082004.1)
Source: RNAcentral